UGGUUCUCGCAUCGAUGAAGAACGCAGCGAAAUGCGAUACGUAAUACGAAUCGCAGCUCUCGGAAUCAUCGAAUCUUUGAACGCACAUUGCACCAUUGGGUAUUCCCAAUGGUAUGCUUGUUUGAGCGAAUACUUCCCUAAUCCUCACGGAUUGUAUUGUGUUUGCACGAAAAUAAUGACGACAGUACUCUACAAAACGGUACCGUCAGUACACUCAUUUUUUUUCCUCAAAUCAAGUAGGACUACCCGCUGA
RNAcentral lists this unclassified non-coding RNA (253 nucleotides) under uncultured fungus. RNAcentral describes it as "partial contains 5.8S ribosomal RNA and internal transcribed spacer 2". The stretch from base 1 to 131 matches the Rfam family "5.8S ribosomal RNA", at positions 22 to 154 of the family's 154-position model. From Rfam's summary of the family: 5.8S ribosomal RNA (5.8S rRNA) is a component of the large subunit of the eukaryotic ribosome. Lineage: Eukaryota; Fungi. The record is from RNAcentral.